RNAcentral lists this small RNA (125 nucleotides) under Marmota monax (woodchuck). The record is from RNAcentral. Lineage: Eukaryota; Metazoa; Chordata; Mammalia; Rodentia; Sciuridae.
GCUGGGCAUGUUGGCGCACACCUGUAAUCCCAGCAACUUGGGAGGCUGAGGCAGGAGACUCUCGAGUUCAAAGCCAGCCUCAGCAACAGCGAGGCACUAAGCAACUCAGUGAGACCCUGUCUCUA